UGGGGAAUUUUGGACAAUGGGCGAAAGCCUGAUCCAGCAAUGCCGCGUGUGUGAAGAAGGCCUUCGGGUUGUAAAGCACUUUUGUCCGGAAAGAAAUCCUUGGCUCUAAUACAGUCGGGGGAUGACGGUACCGGAAGAAUAAGCACCGGCUAACUACGUGCCAGCAGCCGCGGUAAUACGUAGGGUGCAAGCGUUAAUCGGAAUUACUGGGCGUAAAGCGUGCGCAGGCGGUUUGCUAAGACCGAUGUGAAAUCCCCGGGCUCAACCUGGGAACUGCAUUGGUGGCUGGCAGGCUAGAGUAUGGCAGAGGGGGGUAGAAUUCCACGUGUAGCAGUGAAAUGCGUAGAGAUGUGGAGGAAUACCGAUGGCGAAGGCAGCCCCCUGGGCCAAUACUGACGCUCAUGCACGAAAGCGUGGGGAGCAAACAGGAUUAGAUACCCUGGUAGUCCACGCCCUAAACGAUGUCAACUAGUUGUUGGGGAUUCAUUUCCUUAGUAACGUAGCUAACGCGUGAAGUUGACCGCCUGGGGAGUAACGG
RNAcentral lists this ribosomal RNA (538 nucleotides) under uncultured bacterium. RNAcentral's name for it is "partial 16S ribosomal RNA". It matches the Rfam family "Bacterial small subunit ribosomal RNA", at positions 355 to 886 of the family's 1533-position model. The record is from RNAcentral.